This 510-nucleotide small RNA is filed under the name uncultured Glomus. RNAcentral's name for it is "SSU rRNA". It matches the Rfam family "Eukaryotic small subunit ribosomal RNA", at positions 569 to 1083 of the family's 1831-position model. The record is from RNAcentral. Lineage: Eukaryota; Fungi; Glomeromycota; Glomeromycetes; Glomerales; Glomeraceae.
AGCAGCCGCGGUAAUUCCAGCUCCAAUAGCGUAUAUUAAAGUUGUUGCAGUUAAAAAGCUCGUAGUUGAAUUUCGGGAUUAAUUUACUGGUCGUGCUAUUGUACGCACUGGUUUUAUUGAUUCCUCCCUUCUGACGAACUAUGAUGCCAUUAAUUUGGUGUCUUAGGGAAUCAGGACUGUUACUUUGAAAAAUUAGAGUGUUUAAAGCAGGCUCACGCUUGAAUACAUUAGCAUGGAAUAACGGAAUAGGACGUUUGAUUCUAUUUUGUUGGUUUCUAGGAUCGACGUAAUGAUUAAUAGGGAUAGUUGGGGGCAUUAGUAUUCAAUUGUCAGAGGUGAAAUUCUUGGAUUUAUUGAAGACUAACUACUGCGAAAGCAUUUGCCAAGGAUGUUUUCAUUAAUCAAGAACGAAAGUUAGGGGAUCGAAGGCGAUCAGAUACCGUCGUAGUCUUAACCAUAAACUAUGCCGACUAGGGAUCGGAUGAUGUUAAUUUUUAAUGACUCAUUCGG